GAUGAACGCUAGCGAUAGGCUUAACACAUGCAAGUCGAGGGGCAGCACAAGGUAGCUUGCUAUCUGGGUGGCGACCGGCGCACGGGUGCGUAACGCGUAUGCAACUUGCCCUAUACAGGAGGAUAACCCGUCGAAAGACGGACUAAUACUGCGUAUGCUCACAACUUGGCAUCCAGUGGCGAGGAAAGAAAUUCGGUAUAGGAUAGGCAUGCGUCCCAUUAGCUUGUUGGUGAGGUAACGGCUCACCAAGGCAACGAUGGGUAGGGGAACUGAGAGGUUUAUCCCCCACACUGGUACUGAGACACGGACCAGACUCCUACGGGAGGCAGCAGUGAGGAAUAUUGGUCAAUGGGCGCGAGCCUGAACCAGCCAAGUCGCGUGAAGGAUGACUGUCUUAUGGAUUGUAAACUUCUUUUAUACGGGAAUAACAAGAGUCACGUGUGACUCCCUGCAUGUACCGUAUGAAUAAGCAUCGGCUAACUCCGUG
This 487-nucleotide ribosomal RNA is filed under the name uncultured bacterium. RNAcentral's name for it is "partial 16S ribosomal RNA". It matches the Rfam family "Bacterial small subunit ribosomal RNA", at positions 28 to 507 of the family's 1533-position model. The record is from RNAcentral.